This 247-nucleotide ribosomal RNA is filed under the name uncultured bacterium. RNAcentral's name for it is "partial 16S ribosomal RNA". It matches the Rfam family "Bacterial small subunit ribosomal RNA", at positions 523 to 769 of the family's 1533-position model. The record is from RNAcentral.
AUACGAAGGGGGCUAGCGUUGCUCGGAAUUACUGGGCGUAAAGGGCGCGUAGGCGGAUCGUUAAGUCAGAGGUGAAAUCCCGGAGCUCAACUUCGGAACUGCCUUUGAUACUGGCGAUCUUGAGUAUGAGAGAGGUAUGUGGAACUCCGAGUGUAGAGGUGAAAUUCGUAGAUAUUCGGAAGAACACCAGUGGCGAAGGCGACAUACUGGCUCAUUACUGACGCUGAGGCAUGAAAGCGUGGGUAGC